Long non-coding RNA from Drosophila ananassae, 531 nucleotides. RefSeq lists it as uncharacterized. The record is from RefSeq and is a predicted model, not a curated record. The transcript has 4 exons. Lineage: Eukaryota; Metazoa; Arthropoda; Insecta; Diptera; Drosophilidae.
AAUAAAUUUAGGGUUCUCUUUGGAUUUUUGGUCCUUAGACUUUUGUGUCAAAAAUAUCAUUGUUAAAAAAUUCAUCACGUCCUUGACAUGAUGCUCAUAAUUUUGUAUUUAAAAUAUCAAUUACACCCACCGCAUUCACAUAAGGAGACCGAAGGAAAACACUUCACCUCAAAUUUUAGUAUUGUCCGUCAAAACAUAACAUUUCAAAAGGUCAAAUAAAAAAUUCUCCUUUUCGGAAUACAUACAUAAACAUAUGUGCAUCUGUCAAUGGCAUCCAAACAAACUUCUUUGCACUGUAAUAAUUAUAUGUUUUAUUGGAAUGAUGGUUAUAAUCGUAAUAUUUGCAAGUUUCAAAUUUUCUUGAAACUUCGAAGAACUCGUAAAAAUGUUUCCACAUAUGAUCAGUUGAGCGUUGUAGGUUGAUCCCGAGCCAAAGGAUGUAUAAAAUAACACUAUAUACAAAACGGAAGUGACAAAAAUAUCAUGAUAUUCAAAAAAGUAAAAAAUAAAGAAUAAAUAUAAAAAUAAAAA